This 226-nucleotide ribosomal RNA is filed under the name Ixodes scapularis (black-legged tick). RNAcentral's name for it is "eukaryotic small subunit ribosomal RNA". It matches the Rfam family "Eukaryotic small subunit ribosomal RNA", at positions 1229 to 1478 of the family's 1831-position model. The record is from RNAcentral. Lineage: Eukaryota; Metazoa; Arthropoda; Arachnida; Ixodida; Ixodidae.
UUCUGGGAGGAUUGACGAAUUCAGAGCUCUUUCUUGAUUCUGUGGAUGGUGGUGCAUGUUCGUUCUUAGUUGGUGGAGUAAUUUGUCUGGUUAAUUCCGAUAACGAACGAGACUCUUGUCCAUUAAAUAGGCGCGUGGUUCUCUGCACCUUGCACCCUUCAUAGAGGGACAAGUGGCUCCUAGUUGCACGAAACAGAGCAAUAGCAGGUCUGUGAUGCCCUUUGAU